CGCUGCUGCCGCCGCCGCCCCCCGCGCCGCCAGACAUCCGCCUGCCGCCCCCGGACAGCCUGCCUUCCGCCCCUGGCUCUGAGCGUGGCAGCGUCCUACCUCACGACGGUGCCGAUUCGGACCUCGACGAGUCGGAGCUGCGCCGGGAGCUGCUCAACGACAAAUGGCGACAGCUGUUCGACAAGUACGACCCCGAGGGCUUCGGCGAGAUCCCGUGGGACGACUUCGUGGAGGUGCUCAACCAGCCGGAGUUCGCCGCCGAGGUGGACGCGCACAAGCGGGACAUCCUGCUGGAGAGGGCGCU
This is a long non-coding RNA of Schistocerca serialis cubense, 304 nucleotides long. RefSeq lists it as uncharacterized. The transcript is spliced from 3 exons. The record is from RefSeq and is a predicted model, not a curated record. NCBI's taxonomy places the organism in Eukaryota, Metazoa, Arthropoda, Insecta, Orthoptera, Acrididae.